Molecule: small nuclear RNA, 193 nt
Organism: Suncus etruscus (white-toothed pygmy shrew)
Lineage: Eukaryota; Metazoa; Chordata; Mammalia; Eulipotyphla; Soricidae
Product: U2 spliceosomal RNA
Exons: 1
Source: RefSeq, a predicted model, not a curated record
AUCACUUCUAGGACUUUUAGCUAAGAUCAAGCACAGCAUUUGCUCUUAUCAGUUCAAUAUCUGAUAUGUCCUUUAUCCAAAAACAAUAUAUUAAAUAGAUUUUUUUGGAGUAGGGAGUUUGAAUAGGAGCUGGCUUCAUCCACUCCACUCAUGGACCUGGUAUUGAAAUACCUUCAGGAAUGGGGGAGAGAGG